Cygnus olor (mute swan) is the source of this 2681-nucleotide long non-coding RNA. RefSeq lists it as uncharacterized. The record is from RefSeq and is a predicted model, not a curated record. The transcript has 5 exons. NCBI's taxonomy places the organism in Eukaryota, Metazoa, Chordata, Aves, Anseriformes, Anatidae.
GUUCACUGUGCUGAACUCUUGGCACUGGCUGGGUAUGGUUGGACAGUUAUGAAGAAGGAAAAUGAGAAGCACUUCUGUUGGGUGACAUGAAAUGCAUCUCAGGUUACCAGAAUAAAUGCGUGUGUCCUACAGCGUUGAUUCUGGGAGUGGAGCCUAUAAAGCUGGACCUCUGGUAAUGAUUUGGGGAGUAGUUCCCAGGUUUAUUGAGCUGGUGUAUUAGAUUUCCUGCUGCAUGAGCAAGAAGAUUAUGGUGGCUUACGUCUAAGUGUACUUUUGGGAGGCAUUUUGUAUUUUCUCUAUAAAUAGUCUUUCUAAAACACAAUUGUGAAACUAUUAAUGUUUAUAUCGCAUUAUACAUCUCUCUAAGUUUACUGUGCUGAGUAUACAGUGUGGUAGCAAGAGGAAAUCUUUUCGUCUAAGAAACAUGUUCAGAAUUGUCAUUGUUAAAAGGCUACUAAAAGGCAAGUUUGUUAUAUUUAUCUUUUUAUCUGUAGGGUGUUUUUGGCUUAUUACACUGAGUCAUUCCUGUUUUCAACAAUAGUAAAAUUACAUCUCUUAAGGAGUUAAGCUCUUCAAUAGAACUUAUAAAUGUUAAACUUCCAGCAGAAGUGUGGGCAUCCUGGCUAUUCCUUUUGUGUUGGAAAAAUGUCAAACGAGUCAAUUAUAAGCUCUUUACAGAUAAGCCUUGGACUUGGGACUGAGAGCAUGUGCACAGUAAAACUUGUAUUUUACACUGUAUAAACUUUUUUUUUCUUAAGAAAAAGAAUGCAUUUAUUAUGUAAUUUAAAGAAAAAAACAAUGGAAACAUCCUUCGUCCUAAGAUAAAUGGAAAAUAUAUUUAGGUGGAAGGAAGCAGAGGAAGUUUAUAUGUGUAUUAUAUUACUGAUGUAUAUUCUGUUUUGAGAAUAAUUUAAUGAGCAAUUUCUUCACGAUUUAUAAGAAGAUGCCACAGGCCUAACUCUGCAAGGUCCCUUGGAACCAUUUAUUCAUCCGUAUGUGAACAGCCAGUUUCAUUAUUUUUAAAAACAGAACAUGAAUGAAACAAAUGGUUAGUGUUGCUCUGUCCAGCAAAAUGAAAGAUUAUCAUCUCAAGCAGUGGCUGUCAGGUGGACCAGGUCCAGCUCUGCGUCCUCCUUGGGUUCAGAUGCAGGGUGACGUGCGGGUAAUCUGCAAUUUGCUGGGGCAUCGUUAGCUGGCUCUGCCUCCGGGGUAGGAUUUGAAGCAGGCCUGGAGCAGCUGUGUGCCAGGUGGGUUGGGGAGGGAUGCUCAAUGCCCCGCCAUCACCCGCUGGAGCUGGUGUCAAAGCCCCGGUGACAUGGAGGAGGCAUUAGGUCACAUGAGUUACAUUAAGUGGCAAGUGAUAAAUUCAAGAUGACAAUUCAAAACAGCGGUGUUUCUCCCAGUAAUUAAUUCCAGUGGUGCCUGAGGCAGUGCUUGGUUGCUACAACCAGUGUGGCCAAGGCUGAACAACUAAUGAGAAAACAUUACAGCAAGGAUUUAGGGGCCAGUGCAUUCUGGCAAGAUGAGGUCACUACGAUUAGAAAGUAUUAAUGCAGGUUUACUGUGAUAAACUAUGACAAAGAAACUUUGUGUUAUUUGUGAGUGGUUAAAAUGAAUUUUUUUUAGUCAUUAUUAUUAUUUUUUUCCCCCUCAAAAGGCUUUUACACGCUGCUUGGUCCAGUGGCACCAAGCACUGCCUUGGUACUGUCACAUGCAACCCAGGCCAAAGCUAGUUAGUUGCUGCAACCAGACACAAAUCCUUUCUUCCCUUUCAUUUGUUCUAAUUACUUUUGUCAGGUAAUAGUAAACACUCAGCUUAGAGGAAUGAGUUUUGCUGUUGUUACCUAAGAAUAGAAAGAAUGAUGAGAAAAUAACAUUUCCACAUUCAGCAUCCUCCUGCCCUCAGUCAGCAGUGGAGAUGUGGUUGCACAGUACUGGCUAGCAAAAGCCAAGCAAGCGCUUCCUAAAACUUCCACUGUCUUAGGUAUGAGGAAAGGCGGCCUAACAACAGAGUUUUAUAGGUACAGUCCUUCACUGCUGCUGCAGCAGCACAGGUUUGACUGAGUUAUUUGUGAAGAAAAAUCCACAGACAGUGGAACUUAAAUAAAAUAAAAAACUUUUCUGUGAGAUUUUCCCAGGCUGUUAACCCCCAUAGCUGCAGAUUUGCAUUAUGAAUAACUACAAGUGCUGUGUACUAUCUUAAUGGAAACCCAUGGGGUAUAAUGUGCUUAUUAAACGCUUUUACCAACAGACUUGAAAAAGUGCUCUGCUAAUUAUGAAGUAAUACUUAUAACUGUUUCAUGUUAAUUGAAAGGGUAUAGAUGAGAUGGACUACAUGUUGUGGCAUCUGCGUUUUUGUUGUCUAAAGCCUAACAGUUAUUUUCACGUUUUGCUUUGCUCUCUUGUUACCGUAUUUACGCAACAACCACUUUUCAUCUGAAAGCACUGCAAAUACUUCAGUACAAGUGCUUCCCUAGAGCAGAUAGAAACAGUAUUUAAUCAGAACAGUAAGACUUGAUCUAGUCCCAAAUGUCAAAUAAUAUAACUAACUAGCAAGCUUGUAACCAAAUCUUUAUAUUAUCUCAGAAAAUGUUUCAUGUACUAUGUACUAUUAAUGUUUGUACCCUACAUCUUAUAUUAAAGUACAUACCUUUAUCUUUUAAAACCAAUUAAAAAAAAAA